Molecule: ribosomal RNA, 484 nt
Filed under: uncultured bacterium
Lineage: Bacteria
Description: partial 16S ribosomal RNA
Rfam family: Bacterial small subunit ribosomal RNA
Source: RNAcentral
AUUGAACGCUGGCGGCAUGCCUAACACAUGCAAGUCGAGCGGACGAACGGGGCUUGUUCCUGGCUUCAGCUGCGGACGGGUGGGUAAGGCCUAGGAAGCUACCUGGUAUUUGGGGCUAAGGUCCGUAAAGGGGCGCUAAGCCCACAUCGGUCAUUAUUGUGAAAGGGGGGGUUCUUCGGAGCUAGACGUUCUUGAUGUCCCUAGGAGGGAUUAGCUAGUUGGUGUGGUAAAGGCCUACCAAGGCGACGAUCCGUAACUGACCUGAGAGGAUGAUCAGCCACACUGGAACUGAGACACGGUCCAGACUCCUACGGGAGGCAGCAGUGGGGAAUAUUCGACAAUGGGCGAAAGCCUGAUCCAGCAAUGCCGCGUGUGUGAAGAAGGUCUUCGGAUUGUAAAGCACUUUAAGUUGGGAGGAAGGGAAGUAAGUUAAUACCUUGCUGUUUUGACGUUACCAACAGAAUAAGCACCGGCUAACUUCGUG